This 489-nucleotide long non-coding RNA is filed under the name Mytilus galloprovincialis (Mediterranean mussel). The record is from RNAcentral. Lineage: Eukaryota; Metazoa; Mollusca; Bivalvia; Mytilida; Mytilidae.
CAACAAACUGCUGCAAAAGCAAAUAAAUCCUUAGGUUUCAUCAGAAGAAACCUUAAAGUCCAAUCGCAAACAAUUAAAGAAAGAGCGUACCAAACACUCAUAAGACCAAAGUUGGAAUACUGUUGUACUGUAUGGGACCCAUUUACAAACGAAAAUAUAAAAUCACUGGAAAAAGUACAAAGACGGGCAGCAAGGUAUGUGUGCAAUAGACAUCACAACACCAGCAGUGUGUCUGAGAUGCUAGAUACCAUGAAAUGGCAAACAUUACAAGAACGCCGACUACGAACAAGGCUUAUAAUGUUCCACAAAAUUGUAAAUGAAAAUAUAGCCAUUCCAUCGCAAAAUGUAUUACAACAGAGUCAGUCUACUACAAGAUCCACCAAUAAAGAAUCCUACAGACAAAUUCAUUGCAAUAAAGCAGCUAUAAAUUUUCUUUUUUCUGUCAAACCAUCAAAGACUGGAACAAACUAACCCCUGAAAUUACCAAAA